This 216-nucleotide ribosomal RNA is filed under the name Glomeromycotina sp. Its description in RNAcentral is "partial small subunit ribosomal RNA". The stretch from base 40 to 216 matches the Rfam family "Eukaryotic small subunit ribosomal RNA", at positions 686 to 864 of the family's 1831-position model. The record is from RNAcentral. Lineage: Eukaryota; Fungi; Glomeromycota.
GGGUCAGUAGGUUGGUCGUGCCACCGGUACGUACUGGUCUCACUGAUUCCUCCUUCCUGAAGAACCGUAAUGCCAUUAAUUUGGUGUUGCGGGGAAACAGGACGGUUACUUUGAAAAAAUUAGAGUGUUUAAAGCAAGCUAACGCUUGAAUACAUUAGCAUGGAAUAAUGAAAUAGGACGAUCGAUCCUAUUUUGUUGGUUUCUAGGAUUGACGUA